AGCAGCUAGCAGCUGCUCUUUUAAACAGCUUAGCUGAAGUUUCUGCACCUUUCUUUUCUCAGCAGAGUCAGUGGUUCCCAUGGAAACCCCAGGCAAAACAGUGUGGAGCCCCCAGGAGCACCGCUGCAGCCCCAGCACCGUGUUGGCUCUGCGGUCCUAUUGUAAAUGUGCAAGGGCUGACGCUGGGAACACCCAUGCUGGACAGUUAGAGAGUGAGCAAACAAUGGCAGGCUGGGGAUAAAGCUGCAUACGGACCUACACAUUCCUGUCCAGUUUGGUGGAACCACUUAAGGCAGGCUGCUAUAACGUGCAGGAGUCUGCCUACUCUGUGGAAAUGAGGUGACGCCUUCAUCACAGCCAGGAGCCAGGCUGAAAAUUAUUGUCUCUGAGACAGCACAAAACUCAGACUGCAGAAAGUUCUUUUUUUGGACAACUUCAAAGCUGAACUUUGUAUUUGAGAGAUGGAAGCAUGCAACUAAAUGCAUCUGCAUAUACGCUGCCUCACUUUAUCUGGGGAGUAACAAACCGGGUGACAGAAACAAUGCACUGGCUUAAAAAUGAUGAACUUCUUUUUUUCUUUUUCUUAUUAAAACAGGGAGAAAGUAACUGGUAGUAGCAUUCACAGCACAUGCUUCCCCUGCUGCUGCCUGGCUUCACCUCAGCCUUGACAGCACAGAUCUCAAAGGGACAUCGCAUGCGUUUUCAAUUAAGGAGGCCAAGGGAAAAGUGAUACUGGAGCCACAGCAGAGAUAUGAAUAACUUCCCCAUGCUUACAUCUGGCUGCAGAACACUGAGGAUGAAGACACUUUUAUGAUUCAGAUCCAAAACUACAGAAAGAUUUUUGUCUCUAUUUUUUAACUUCUCAGAUAAUAUUUUCUGUGCAGCCCUGAGCAAACCACCUGCAACAGUGUCUCUUUUUCUCUUUUUCCUAAUACAGAAAUAACUUAUUUCCUGA
Long non-coding RNA from Gallus gallus (chicken), 955 nucleotides. RefSeq lists it as uncharacterized. The transcript is spliced from 4 exons. The record is from RefSeq and is a predicted model, not a curated record. NCBI's taxonomy places the organism in Eukaryota, Metazoa, Chordata, Aves, Galliformes, Phasianidae.